GAUGAAGAACGUAGCGAAAUGCGAUAAGUAAUGUGAAUUGCAGAAUUCAGUGAAUCAUCGAAUCUUUGAACGCACAUUGCGCCCCUUGGUAUUCCGGGGGGCAUGCCUGUUCGAGCGUCAUUUCAACCCUCAAGCUCUGCUUGGUAUUGGGCUCCGUCCUCAGGGACGCGCCUCAAAGACCUCGGCGGUGGCGUCUUGCCUCAAGCGUAGUAGAAAACACCUCGCUUUGGAGUGCUGGGCGUCGCCCGCCGGACGAACCUUUGAAUUUUUCUCAAGGUUGACCUCGGAUCAGGUAGGAAUACCCGCUGAACUUAAGCAUAUCAAUAAGCGGAGGA
Molecule: unclassified non-coding RNA, 335 nt
Filed under: soil metagenome
Description: partial contains 5.8S ribosomal RNA, internal transcribed spacer 2, and large subunit ribosomal RNA
Rfam family: 5.8S ribosomal RNA (bases 1-120)
Source: RNAcentral